Molecule: long non-coding RNA, 1100 nt
Organism: Oncorhynchus tshawytscha (Chinook salmon)
Lineage: Eukaryota; Metazoa; Chordata; Actinopteri; Salmoniformes; Salmonidae
Source: Ensembl
GGGGUUUUUCAGAGUUUAUUUGUAGUACCAACAAACUUUGGUAAUUUAGCAAAUUGUAGCAAUAAAAAUGCACUCUCGACAAGGUCUCAGUGAGCUUGUGACAAAUAAAUAGCACAGUGAUACUAAUUUACACAACAAAAAUACUACUAUAAAUUUCAUAAUCAAAAGGACAGAAAUGAAUUAUAACGCUUCUUCUUCUCACUACUUUACACUGGGAUCUUUGUCUUUUUAAAUAAAGCUUUUCCAUUUUUGAAGUACCACGUAGCAUGUUGUCCUUUAAUAAUAAAUAGAUUGUUGUCCAUUUCAACAUGCAAAACUGCUUUGUUUUUGAGAAUGUUCCACAUAUACUAUAUACACUUAAAACAAAACAAUUUAAAAAAAAAUCCAAUUUGUCUUUCACAAACUCUCUUUAAUAUCACACAUCCAAGAAGCUUAAUGUAUAUUAUCAAAAUGAUUUAUGGUUGUUGUAGUGUUGAUAAAGAAACAUGAUCAGCAUAUACCAACUUUGAACAUAGUAAUAUACUCAAUUUGGUGUUAUACAUAGUUUAUUUUUUUAUUUUUUUAAGUCUAUGCUUUUAGGAAAGGUUCACUUGGACACAUGCUCAGAGAAGGUUCCUGUUGAUAAAGCUUGGACACACAGCUGAAUGCCUAUUGAGUCCUCUACUGGUUCACUGACUAUUUCAAAAUCAGUGACUUGGACUAUAAUACAUAUACCUUUUCCCCUUUUAGAAUUCAGGUCAAACAAAUAUUUCCAUUUCAUUAUAUAUACACAAAUGUGGACAUAAAUAAGUAUUCUUCUGAGCAUAGAUGCAACGACAUUAUUAUUAUAAUUGUUUUCACAAACAUCUUGCAGAAAUCACUCCCAUACCGUUCUUAACCAUGUUGUAGUUUAAGGUCCCCCUGUUUCUCCAAUACACGGGGAAAAGAAAAGUGUCCAAUUAUGUCUUCAAGUUUGUCCUUCUCUCGUAGUUCCUGGCUACAAGCCAAUCAGUGGAGAUUAUUUUUGCGUGGUACCUUUCCGUUUUUCCCUUCAGUUAUUUUCUUGAGGCAAAAGUUUGUUUUAUGGCUGUACAGUUAUGUAUGGAGUAUCCCCUCAUCCG